Molecule: ribosomal RNA, 497 nt
Filed under: uncultured bacterium
Lineage: Bacteria
Description: partial 16S ribosomal RNA
Rfam family: Bacterial small subunit ribosomal RNA
Source: RNAcentral
GAUGAACGCUGGCGGCGUGCCUAAUACAUGCAAGUCGAGCGAACAGACGAGGAGGUUGCUCCUCUGACGUUAGCGGCGGACGUGUGACUAACACGUGGAUAACCUACCUAUAAGACUGGGAUAACUUCGUGAAACCGGAGCUAAUACCGGAUAAUAUAUUGAACCGCAUGGUUCAAUAGUGAAAGACGGUUUUGCUGUCACUUAUAGAUGGAUCCGCGCCGCAUUAGCUAGUUGGUAAGGUAACGGCUUACCAAGGCAACGAUGCGUAGCCGACCUGAGAGGGUGAUCGGCCACACUGGAACUGAGACACGGUCCAGACUCCUACGGGAGGCAGCAGUAGGGAAUCUUCCGCAAUGGGCGAAAGCCUGACGGAGCAACGCCGCGUGAGUGAUGAAGGUCUUCGGAUCGUAAACCUCUGUUAUAAGGAAAGAACAAAUGUGUAAGUAAAUAUGCACGUCUUGACGGUACCUUAUCAGAAAGCAACGGCUAACUACGUG